GUAGGUGGCAAGCGUUGUCCGGAAUUAUUGGGCGUAAAGCGCGCGCAGGCGGUUCUUUAAGUCUGAUGUGAAAGCCCACGGCUCAACCGUGGAGGGUCAUUGGAAACUGGAGAACUUGAGUACAGAAGAGGAAAGCGGAAUUCCACGUGUAGCGGUGAAAUGCGUAGAGAUGUGGAGGAACACCAGUGGCGAAGGUGGCUUUCUGGUCUGUAACUGACGCUGAGGCGCGAAAGCGUGGGGAGCAAACAGGAUUAGAUACCCUGGUAGUCCACGCCGUAAACGAUGAGUGCUAAGUGUUAGGGGGUUUCCGCCCCCCUUAGUGCUGCAGCUAACGCAUUAAGCACUCCGCCUGGGAGUACGGCCGCAAGGCUG
This 372-nucleotide ribosomal RNA is filed under the name uncultured organism. RNAcentral's name for it is "partial 16S ribosomal RNA". It matches the Rfam family "Bacterial small subunit ribosomal RNA", at positions 527 to 896 of the family's 1533-position model. The record is from RNAcentral.